UAAAACUUGUUACAAAACGAGGUCGGUUAGGCUCUUCUUCUUCCGGAAAGCCCCAAAUUUACGUUACGACGUCGUGUUUUGAUCCUUCAAAUUUGCAGCUCCUUUCCUUUUUUCGGGAACCAAAAAACCAAACGUUUAACCUAAAUUAUCAAAAUCACUGAUUCAACUCCUUUACUUUAAUCUUAUUAGUCAGGAAGACCGGCUAUGGCUGCUAAAAUUCUUGCAAAUCUGAUUGUAAUGGGUUCUGGGAUUCUGAUAAGGUCCUUUGCGCAAGCUUAUCGUCAAGCACUUGCAAACUAUGUAGACAUCGACGUGCUGCUGGAAUUUUUAAUUAUCGUUUGGACAAAGAUGAUAAACAAUAAAAGUACAAGCUAAGCUUUGUUGCUGAUAACUUUUAGGUCAGUUACAAAA
Long non-coding RNA from Olea europaea var. sylvestris, 411 nucleotides. RefSeq lists it as uncharacterized. The record is from RefSeq and is a predicted model, not a curated record. Lineage: Eukaryota; Viridiplantae; Streptophyta; Magnoliopsida; Lamiales; Oleaceae. The transcript has 3 exons.